This 253-nucleotide ribosomal RNA is filed under the name uncultured bacterium. RNAcentral describes it as "partial 16S ribosomal RNA". It matches the Rfam family "Bacterial small subunit ribosomal RNA", at positions 524 to 776 of the family's 1533-position model. The record is from RNAcentral.
UACGUAGGUGGCAAGCGUUAUCCGGAUUUAUUGGGCGUAAAGGGAACGCAGGCGGUCUUUUAAGUCUGAUGUGAAAGCCUUCGGCUUAACCGGAGUAGUGCAUUGGAAGCUGGGAGACUUGAGUGCAGAAGAGGAGAGUGGAACUUCAUGUGUAGCGGUGAAAUGCGUAGAUAUAUGGAAGAACACCAGUGGCGAAAGCGGCUCUCUGGUCUGUAACUGACGCUGAGGUUCGAAAGCGUGGGUAGCAAACAGG